RNAcentral lists this ribosomal RNA (274 nucleotides) under uncultured bacterium. RNAcentral describes it as "partial 16S ribosomal RNA". It matches the Rfam family "Bacterial small subunit ribosomal RNA", at positions 523 to 796 of the family's 1533-position model. The record is from RNAcentral.
AUACGGAGGGUGCAAGCGUUGUUCGGAAUUAUUGGGCGUAAAGCGGAUGUAGGCGGUUUGUUAAGUCGGAUGUGAAAUCCCUGGGCUCAACCCAGGAACUGCAUUCGAUACUGGCAAACUAGAGUCUCGGAGGGGGUGGCGGAAUUCCCGGUGUAGAGGUGAAAUUCGUAGAUAUCGGGAGGAACACCAGUGGCGAAGGCGGCCACCUGGACGAUGACUGACGCUCAGAUCCGAAAGCGUGGGGAGCAAACAGGAUUAGAUACCCGCGUAGUCC